GCACAAGCGGUGGAUGAUGUGGUUUAAUUCGAUGCAACGACGAAAACCUUACCACCUUUGACAUGGCAGGAAUCCCGAAGAGAUUUGGGAGUGCUACGAAAGAGAACCUGCACACAGGUGCUGCAUGGCUGUCGUCAGCUCGUGUCGUGGGAUGUUGGGUUAAGUCCCGCAACGAGCGCAACCCUUGCCAUUAGUUGCUACGAAAGGGCACUCUAAUGGGACUGCCGGUGACAAACCGGAGGAAGGUGGGGAUGACGUCAAGUCCUCAUGGCCCUUAUAGGUGGGGCUACACACGUCAUACAAUGGCCGGUACAGAGGGUAGCCAACCCGCGAGGGGGAGCCAAUCCCACAAAGCCGGUCGUAGUCCGGAUCGCAGUCUGCAACUCGACUGCGUGAAGUCGGAAUCGCUAGUAAUCGCGGAUCAGCACGUCGCGGUGAAUACGUUCCCGGGUCUU
This 455-nucleotide ribosomal RNA is filed under the name uncultured Allobrachymonas sp. Its description in RNAcentral is "bacterial SSU rRNA". It matches the Rfam family "Bacterial small subunit ribosomal RNA", at positions 923 to 1382 of the family's 1533-position model. The record is from RNAcentral. Lineage: Bacteria; Pseudomonadati; Pseudomonadota; Betaproteobacteria; Burkholderiales; Comamonadaceae.